AGCGCAUACGGUGGAUGCCUUGGCAGUCAGAGGCGAUGAAAGACGUGGUAGCCUGCGAAAAGCUUCGGGGAGUCGGCAAACAGACUGUGAUCCGGAGAUAUCUGAAUGGGGGAACCCAGCCAUCAUAAGAUGGUUAUCUUGUACUGAAUACAUAGGUGCAAGAGGCGAACCAGGGGAACUGAAACAUCUAAGUACCCUGAGGAAAAGAAAUCAACCGAGAUUCCCUUAGUAGUGGCGAGCGAACGGGGACCAGCCCUUAAGUUGUAUUGAGAUUAGCGGAACGUUCUGGAAAGGACGGCCAUAGUGGGUGAUAGCCCUGUACGCGAAAAUCCCUUUGCAAUGAAAUCGAGUAGGACGGGGCACGAGAAACCUUGUCUGAAUAUGGGGGGACCAUCCUCCAAGGCUAAAUACUACUGACUGACCGAUAGUGAACCAGUACCGUGAGGGAAAGGCGAAAAGAACCGCGGAGAGCGGAGUGAAAUAGAUCCUGAAACCGUAUGCGUACAAGCAGUGGGAGCCCACUUUGUUGGGUGACUGCGUACCUUUUGUAUAAUGGGUCAGCGACUUAUUUUCAGUGGCGAGCUUAACCGAAUAGGGGAGGCGUAGCGAAAGCGAGUCUUAAUAGGGCGUCUAGUCGCUGGGAAUAGACCCGAAACCGGGCGAUCUAUCCAUGGGCAGGUUGAAGGUUGGGUAACACUAACUGGAGGACCGAACCGACUACCGUUGAAAAGUUAGCGGAUGACCUGUGGAUCGGAGUGAAAGGCUAAUCAAGCUCGGAGAUAGCUGGUUCUCCUCGAAAGCUAUUUAGGUAGCGCCUCAUGUAUCACUGUAGGGGGUAGAGCACUGUUUCGGCUAGGGGGUCAUCCCGACUUACCAAACCGAUGCAAACUCCGAAUACCUACAAGUGCCGAGCAUGGGAGACACACGGCGGGUGCUAACGUCCGUCGUGAAAAGGGAAACAACCCAGACCGUCAGCUAAGGUCCCAAAGUCAUGGUUAAGUGGGAAACGAUGUGGGAAGGCUUAGACAGCUAGGAGGUUGGCUUAGAAGCAGCCACCCUUUAAAGAAAGCGUAAUAGCUCACUAGUCGAGUCGGCCUGCGCGGAAGAUGUAACGGGGCUCAAACCAUGCACCGAAGCUACGGGUAUCAUCUUAUGAUGAUGCGGUAGAGGAGCGUUCUGUAAGCCUGUGAAGGUGAGUUGAGAAGCUUGCUGGAGGUAUCAGAAGUGCGAAUGCUGACAUGAGUAACGACAAUGGGUGUGAAAAACACCCACGCCGAAAGACCAAGGUUUCCUGCGCAACGUUAAUCGACGCAGGGUUAGUCGGUCCCUAAGGCGAGGCUGAAAAGCGUAGUCGAUGGAAAACAGGUUAAUAUUCCUGUACUUCUGGUUAUUGCGAUGGAGGGACGGAGAAGGCUAGGCCAGCCUGGCGUUGGUUGUCCAGGUUUAAGGUGGUAGGCUGAGAUCUUAGGUAAAUCCGGGAUCUUAAGGCCGAGAGCUGAUGACGAGUGUUCUUUUAGAACACGAAGUGGUUGAUGCCAUGCUUCCAAGAAAAGCUUCUAAGCUUCAGGUAACCAGGAACCGUACCCCAAACCGACACAGGUGGUUGGGUAGAGAAUACCAAGGCGCUUGAGAGAACUCGGGUGAAGGAACUAGGCAAAAUGGCACCGUAACUUCGGGAGAAGGUGCGCCGGUGGAGGUGAAGCAUUUACUGCGUAAGCCCCUGCCGGUCGAAGAUACCAGGCCGCUGCGACUGUUUAUUAAAAACACAGCACUCUGCAAACACGAAAGUGGACGUAUAGGGUGUGACGCCUGCCCGGUGCCGGAAGGUUAAUUGAUGGGGUUAGCGCAAGCGAAGCUCUUGAUCGAAGCCCCGGUAAACGGCGGCCGUAACUAUAACGGUCCUAAGGUAGCGAAAUUCCUUGUCGGGUAAGUUCCGACCUGCACGAAUGGCGUAACGAUGGCGGCGCUGUCUCCACCCGAGACUCAGUGAAAUUGAAAUCGCUGUGAAGAUGCAGUGUAUCCGCGGCUAGACGGAAAGACCCCGUGAACCUUUACUAUAGCUUUGCACUGGACUUUGAAUUUGCUUGUGUAGGAUAGGUGGGAGGCUUUGAAGCGUGGACGCCAGUCUGCGUGGAGCCAACCUUGAAAUACCACCCUGGCAACUUUGAGGUUCUAACUCAGGUCCGUUAUCCGGAUCGAGGACAGUGUAUGGUGGGUAGUUUGACUGGGGCGGUCUCCUCCUAAAGAGUAACGGAGGAGUACGAAGGUGCGCUCAGACCGGUCGGAAAUCGGUCGUAGAGUAUAAAGGCAAAAGCGCGCUUGACUGCGAGACAGACACGUCGAGCAGGUACGAAAGUAGGUCUUAGUGAUCCGGUGGUUCUGUAUGGAAGGGCCAUCGCUCAACGGAUAAAAGGUACUCCGGGGAUAACAGGCUGAUACCGCCCAAGAGUUCAUAUCGACGGCGGUGUUUGGCACCUCGAUGUCGGCUCAUCACAUCCUGGGGCUGAAGCCGGUCCCAAGGGUAUGGCUGUUCGCCAUUUAAAGUGGUACGCGAGCUGGGUUUAGAACGUCGUGAGACAGUUCGGUCCCUAUCUGCCGUGGACGUUUGAGAUUUGAGAGGGGCUGCUCCUAGUACGAGAGGACCGGAGUGGACGAACCUCUGGUGUUCCGGUUGUCACGCCAGUGGCAUUGCCGGGUAGCUAUGUUCGGAAAAGAUAACCGCUGAAAGCAUCUAAGCGGGAAACUUGCCUCAAGAUGAGAUCUCACUGGAACCUUGA
This 2777-nucleotide ribosomal RNA is filed under the name Pseudomonas syringae pv. atrofaciens. RNAcentral describes it as "bacterial LSU rRNA". It matches the Rfam family "Bacterial large subunit ribosomal RNA". The record is from RNAcentral. RNAcentral also lists the same sequence under 1 other name. Lineage: Bacteria; Pseudomonadati; Pseudomonadota; Gammaproteobacteria; Pseudomonadales; Pseudomonadaceae.